AUUGAACGCUGGCGGCGUGCUUAACACAUGCAAGUCGAUCGGUAACAGGUGUAGCAAUACAUGCUGACGAGAGGCGGACGGGUGAGUAAUGCUUGGGAAUCUGCCUAUUAGUGGGGGACAACCCGGGAAACUCGGGCUAAUACCGCAUACGCUCUACGGAGGAAAGCCGGGGACCGCAAGGCCUGGCGCUAAUAGAUGAGCCCAAGUCGGAUUAGCUAGUUGGUAGGGUAACGGCCUACCAAGGCGACAAUCCGUAGCUGGUCUGAGAGGACGACCAGCCACACCGGAACUGAGACACGGUCCGGACUCCUACGGGAGGCAGCAGUGGGGAAUAUUGGACAAUGGGGGCAACCCUGAUCCAGCGACGCCGCGUGGGUGAAGAAGGCCUGCGGGUUGUAAAGCCCUUUCGGUGGGGAAGAAAAGUCUCGACCUAAUACGUCGGGACCUUGACGUAACCACUAAAGAAGCACCGGCUAACU
RNAcentral lists this ribosomal RNA (479 nucleotides) under uncultured bacterium. Its description in RNAcentral is "bacterial SSU rRNA". It matches the Rfam family "Bacterial small subunit ribosomal RNA", at positions 29 to 502 of the family's 1533-position model. The record is from RNAcentral.